Molecule: long non-coding RNA, 364 nt
Organism: Sycon ciliatum
Lineage: Eukaryota; Metazoa; Porifera; Calcarea; Leucosolenida; Sycettidae
Exons: 3
Source: RefSeq, a predicted model, not a curated record
CCAUUUCCGAAAGCAAAUUGCUACUUGUGGUUCUGGCUUCACGGCAAAGCGGUUCCGCCAUUAGCUGCAGAUGAUGUACCAAAAUAGUCUGUGCGUAUUUUGGAGUGGGCAAGAGGGCAGUGAAGUAUUAUUGCUUAUAGCUUACCGACCACUUCCGACGACAGCUUGAGGCGGCGUGAUGGGAUGAAGCAGUGCACAGCUUGCAUACAGAAGGCAACAAUUGCCCCCUUCCAGGUCUGUUUCCAGAGCAUGCUGCCGCAACUAUUUUUUGGCAUUAGCGAAAUGCGAGAUUUAGUUAACAAGAGUUCAGACAUCCGCAUGAGGGAGGAGAAACAAGCCCGGAGAACAAAAUCUAAAAUUCAAG